GCCAGGAGCUGGGAGUGUGAGAUGGGGAAGAGGAUGCACCAACCGAAAGGCUGAGCGGACAGGAGCAUGGUGCUCCAUUGUUUCUGGAAGAGAGGGAUGAGUGUUCCUCUCUGAUGAGAAUGGAGAGGAGGAGAGGAACGGGCUCAGGAGGAGGAGGAAUCCGAGAGAGAGCCUGACUGAGGCAGAGAAAGAGGCAGUGAGACAAGAGACAAAGGCACGGAGGCGCACUGGCGGACAGCAGAGGGAGGCACACAGGCAGAAGUCAGGGCCUCCCUGACUGAGUGCAGGUUGGUGUCCUGCACCCGGUCCGCACAGCACACUGACCGGCGCCGUGUGAUGCCUGGGGCUCCCUCUGCUGUCACCACUGAGCCCACGCCCUCAAGAGUCAGUGACGCCGGUUCCCAGCCUGUUCACAGCACUCACCGUCUCGCUUGCUACUGUCAUCACAGAAUGUCAUGUAAACUGUUGAAAUAGCGUGUUGAAGUAAAUGUGUUGUUUCUAUGAAAAUUUCAUAAGGUGAGUCCAGAAAAAAGUUCUCCAAGUUAGGUAAAGGCUGGCAGGGAAAAGUCAUAUUCUAAAGGGUGCU
This 586-nucleotide long non-coding RNA is filed under the name Homo sapiens (human). RNAcentral's name for it is "non-protein coding lnc-THYN1-5:1". Lineage: Eukaryota; Metazoa; Chordata; Mammalia; Primates; Hominidae. The record is from RNAcentral.